CGCGGCGGGCGGGUGGCUGGGGCGGUGCAGACCAUAGCCAUACCCGGCCGGGCCCGGGCCGCAGCAGGCCUAUUGAUUGGGACUGCCUUUAACCCUUUCAUAUUUGCGGAGUUAAUCCAUCUGUGGCAGUAACUGAGCGUUGGCAAAAAGAAUAUUUCAGAGGUCAAGGUUCACAAAGAGUCCAUAAUGACUUCCAGUUGGCCAGUGUUGAUGUGUAG
Molecule: long non-coding RNA, 218 nt
Organism: Centrocercus urophasianus (Greater sage-grouse)
Lineage: Eukaryota; Metazoa; Chordata; Aves; Galliformes; Phasianidae
Exons: 3
Source: RefSeq, a predicted model, not a curated record